This 109-nucleotide microRNA precursor is filed under the name Glossina austeni. RNAcentral's name for it is "microRNA mir-981". The stretch from base 14 to 97 matches the Rfam family "mir-981 microRNA precursor family". The record is from RNAcentral. Lineage: Eukaryota; Metazoa; Arthropoda; Insecta; Diptera; Glossinidae.
AAAACAGUACUAACCACGUUGAAAUCGGGUUUCGUAAACAGCGCACUGUAUACGAUAAAACUAAGUUCGUUGUCGACGAAACCUGCAUAUAACGUGGAAUAAGCAACUA